GAUGAACGCUGGCGGCGUGCCUAAUACAUGCAAGUCGAGCGAACAGACGAGGAGCUUGCUCCUUUGACGUUAGCGGCGGGCGGGUGAGUAACACGUGGGUAACCUACCUAUAAGACUGGGAUAACUUCGGGAAACCGGAGCUAAUACCGGAUAAUAUUUCGAACCGCAUGGUUCGAUAGUGAAAGAUGGCUUUGCUAUCACUUAUAGAUGGACCUGCGCCGUAUUAGCUAGUUGGUAAGGUAACGGCUUACCAAGGCAACGAUACGUAGCCGACCUGAGAGGGUGAUCGGCCACACUGGAACUGAGACACGGUCCAGACUCCUACGGGAGGCAGCAGUAGGGAAUCUUCCGCAAUGGGCGAAAGCCUGACGGAGCAACGCCGCGUGAGUGAUGAAGGUCUUCGGAUCGUAAAACUCUGUUAUUAGGGAAGAACAAACGUGUAAGUAACUGUGCACGUCUUGACGGUACCUAAUCAGAAAGCCACGGCUAACUACGUG
RNAcentral lists this ribosomal RNA (497 nucleotides) under uncultured bacterium. RNAcentral's name for it is "partial 16S ribosomal RNA". It matches the Rfam family "Bacterial small subunit ribosomal RNA", at positions 28 to 507 of the family's 1533-position model. The record is from RNAcentral.